RNAcentral lists this ribosomal RNA (211 nucleotides) under uncultured bacterium. Its description in RNAcentral is "partial 16S ribosomal RNA". It matches the Rfam family "Bacterial small subunit ribosomal RNA", at positions 1282 to 1500 of the family's 1533-position model. The record is from RNAcentral.
CUAGUCUCAGUUCGGAUCGGAGUCUGCAACCCGACUCCGUGAAGCUGGAUUCGCUAGUAAUCGCGCAUCAGCCAUGGCGCGGUGAAUACGUUCCCGGGCCUUGUACACACCGCCCGUCAAGCCAUGGGAGCCGGGAGUGCCUGAAGUCCGUGACCGCGAGGAGCGGCCUAGGGUAAGACCGGUGACUGGGGCUAAGUCGUAACAAGGUAUC